This 240-nucleotide unclassified non-coding RNA is filed under the name soil metagenome. Its description in RNAcentral is "partial contains 5.8S ribosomal RNA, internal transcribed spacer 2, and large subunit ribosomal RNA". The record is from RNAcentral.
AACCAUAGAAACCUGCGGAGUACCUGCGGAGGGAUCAUUACAGAGUUGCAAGACUCCCUAAACCAUUGUGAACGUUACCUAAACCGUUGCUUCGGCGGGCGGCCCGGGUCCUUCCCGGCGCCCCUCGGCCCUCGCGGGCGCCCGCCGGAGGUAAACCAAACUAUUGCAUUGUAUGGCCUCUCUGAGUCUUCUGUACUGAAUAAGUCAAAACUUUCAACAACGGAUCUCAGAUCGGAAGAG